This 1818-nucleotide long non-coding RNA is filed under the name Heterocephalus glaber (naked mole-rat). RNAcentral's name for it is "lncRNA (ENSHGLG00000045223.1)". The record is from RNAcentral. Lineage: Eukaryota; Metazoa; Chordata; Mammalia; Rodentia; Bathyergidae.
UGCCUGCCUCAAGCUGACUCACCUGGAACUAACACUGGGAUUUCUGGCACGCAUUCCUGCUCUGCCUCUAUUGCUGUCCACAGUUUUGUGCCAUGACCAGGCAUCACACACAGGCAACUGCAUCGGCACCUGUGGUGAUGAUGAAUUUGUGGUCACACACAGAGGAUCACCUCAGGUUGAGGGUGACUCAAGCCUGGCCAGCAGUCACCUCAGGCUCUGCUCUUCACUGCCACACUCUUCUGCUGCACAUGGCUAUGUCACACAUCACUGGGCUCUGUCCUCCCUGCGGCAUACAUUCCAGUUCCUGCUCAUCAACUCUUGGUUUUGUUCAACCUCAAAGCAUGUAGUGAGGCAAGGCCGGAACCGAAGCUCAGAGUUGAGGUCCAGAUGAUUGCAGCUGGGCCUGGCAAGGCAACUGCGUGGUCCACCUUUCUGAGAAGAUCUGCAGAGGGCAAGUGAGUUCCUGCUCGGCUGCUGCCUUUCCCGAGUUACCACAUGACAUUGUAAAAUCACCUACAAUUCUAAAUCCAGAGAGUGCCUACAGACUACGCACUUAACAGCUCAGAGGAUGACUCAGAGGAAGCAAUUUUCCAAAGUGAAGAUAAUCAUCUGUUGGUGUGAAAAAGCAAACACUCUUUCAUUAGCGUUGGAGACUCAAGGGGAACUUGCUAAAUCCAUAGAUGCAGCACUUUAGUAAGUGGCUAAAGAACAAUACCACAGCUGGAAGGGAGGACAUUCCACUCUGUCAGAGUUCUCCCACAGAACUAGCUCUCUUAAAGGGAAGGCAGAAGCUCAGCUCUGGCCUCUUCCUGUUCACUUGAUAACCUUCUCGAAGUCCUGGUCCCUGUGCCACCCACCCUGGGAAUCCCAGAAUUCAGAGCUCCCGGAUCUACUUCAUCCACAAACAAUAAUUCCCCUUAUCCUGGGGAUAUGUUCCAACAUGGCCUAUGGAUGCCAGAAACCACUCACAGUCCUAAGCCCUAUGUACACUGUUAUUUCCUAUAUAUACACACCUAUGAUGAAGUUUUCUAUAUAAAUUCGACAGUUUUGCAAAUGGGAAGGGUACCAAGAGAAGGAGGGAGAAGAGAGGGAAGGGAAAGGGGAGUGAGAAGAACGAAGAUGUGUUAGGCGCAUGUACGAAACUCCCCCCAAUGAAUGUAACCAUUAUGUACUGCAAACAUGUACUAAUGAAAGUUUAAAAAUGGUAUCUUCCCGAAAAAGCUUAAGUCAUCAUAUUACAGUGAUACUGCAUACCCAUGUUUAUAGCAGCACAAUUUAUAAUAGCUAAAUCUUGGAUGUGUCUUAUAUGUCCACCGACAGAUGAAUGAUAAAGAAAAUGUGGUAUUUAAAUGCAAUGGAGUACUAGUCUACCAUAAAGAAGGAUAAAUUAGAGUCAUUUGUAGGAAAAUGGAUGCGCCUUGAGACCACAACAUUAAGUGAAAUAAGUCAGACACAUGAGCUUAAAUAUCACAUUGUUUCCCUUGUAUAAGAAACCCAAAACAUGAAGUGUGAAAUAAAAGAUAGAUAAUAGGAAGUAGGGAGAUAGAGCUUUUCCAAAUAUGAAGGGGAUCAAGAGGUGGAGGGAGGGCCAGGGAUUUAGUGCAGUGGUUUCACCGCCUGCUGCGCAAGUGCAAGGACCUGAGUUCGAUCCCUGGUACCAAAAAAAGAGGUGGAGGGAGAGGAGAGGAAGGAGGGAAAGGGGAUGGAAAAGAAAUUAAGAUGUGUUUGUUGUGUGCCAUGUACCAGCUCCCCACAAGGAGUGUCAUCAUGUAAUGCAAAAUGUACUAAGAAUAAAAACUGGAGAAAAUAUAAAUUAGG